Molecule: long non-coding RNA, 335 nt
Organism: Rattus rattus (black rat)
Lineage: Eukaryota; Metazoa; Chordata; Mammalia; Rodentia; Muridae
Exons: 2
Source: RefSeq, a predicted model, not a curated record
CGGGGUGUGGGCGGUGCGGGUGGCACCGGCGCGAGCGCGCGUGGAGGUGGCACUCGGGAGGCAGCGAUCGGUAUUGAAGGCCCUCAAGGGUCCCUCAGGAGUGCGCGACUGGAGCCGGUGGCUCCCGCGCUAUUGCAGCAUAACACUCCAGCAUCCAUUUCCUGGACAGCUGGUUACGCCACUCCAACAACCCAGAGGACACAAAUCCACGGAGCGGCUGUCAGGCCUCAGACAUCAGGAGGACUCGGACGGCCCCUAUUCACUUUGCUACGUGUGUAAAGGACAAGGAAAGGUUUAGAAAACACAGGACAGAGAUUUGGUUUCCUGUUCCUUCA